This is a long non-coding RNA of Herpailurus yagouaroundi (jaguarundi), 834 nucleotides long. RefSeq lists it as uncharacterized. Lineage: Eukaryota; Metazoa; Chordata; Mammalia; Carnivora; Felidae. The record is from RefSeq and is a predicted model, not a curated record. The transcript is spliced from 4 exons.
GUGGGGGUGAAGAGCCUUCCCAAGAAAGCUGGAGGCAUUCCAGGAAGUAUCUCUGUGCCGGCAGAAGGAGAGCUGAAGCCUUGGGCUUAAACCUCCGGCUUCUCCCACCGCCCCCACCCCCACCCCCACCUUGCCUCUGCUGGGAUUGUCUGCUUUCUCUCCAGCCCCGCCCCCAAAGCUCCUGGAAAGGGGGGAGGGCACAGGCCCACACUCAGCAUAUACAGCACCCCUAAGACCACUGUCCCUGCCUCUCCCGUCUCCAUAUCCCGGUACCUCCCUGUAGAAAUGCUGUCCCCAGCUGUUCCCAUUCUCACCCCUGGAGACACAGCAGGACCGAGGCCCUGCCAUCUCCGGAUAAUGCAGCAUUGCCCUGGAGCUCUGGGUGGAGAGGGAAGGCUGACCCUGUCCCAGAAGCCAGGUGGGAGCCCCUUCGGCUUUCCAGAGAGCCAGCUACCCCUUUAGUUCUGGCUGGAAGGGAGCCCAGAUCCCCUCUGCAGGAACAACCACUAUUACUCCAGUCUUGUGUGCAUCCCAGAAAGAUUCUAUGCAUUGGCAAAUGUCUAUUAUACUUUACUUCCCAUGACUCACACAGGAGGGAGAAUGAGGCCCUCAGAGAAGUGAAGUACUUUGGCUAAGGUCACACAGCUGGUAAGUUGGCAGAGCUGGGAUCUGGAAGCAGAUCUAACUGAAAAACUCAGCUCCUUUCACCGCCCACGCUCUGGCAGAGGACUCCUUCUGUGUUACGUCUCAGUCUGGUGUCUCCUCCACGUAGGGGACUAUGUCCCUGAGGCCCAAGAGAAGAAGCUCUCACCUCAUCCGGAUUGGCAAGUAGGG